Molecule: long non-coding RNA, 729 nt
Organism: Sphaeramia orbicularis (orbiculate cardinalfish)
Lineage: Eukaryota; Metazoa; Chordata; Actinopteri; Kurtiformes; Apogonidae
Exons: 4
Source: RefSeq, a predicted model, not a curated record
ACGGACUGUGUGAGGGCAGACACUUGGUCCAGUUCCUCCACCUGUUUCCUCACCUGUUCAGACUCUGUCAGACUGGUCCAUGGUUCCAGUCGGUGUUCAGGCAGACUGGAGGUCCGCUCCGACCGGUCCUGGUCCUCGGUGUGUGAAGAGAAUUUGGACCUGAACGACACCCAGGUGGUCUGUAGGGAGCUGGGCUGUGGGGCUCCUGGGCUCCUCCAGGGGGGGGCUCUAUGGAGAGGGGGAGGCUCCAGUCUGGACCAGUGAGCUCCAGUGUGAAGGAAAUGAGUCUGUGGUCCUGGACUGUAGGAGGUCCAGCUCAACUAGGAAGACCUGCUCACCUGGACCAGCUGCUGGACUCACCUGUGCAGAUCCAGCUGGUGUCAGGUUGGUGGGACAGCAGAGCCGCUGCGCUGGUGCUUUGGAGAUCCAACACCAGGGACACUGGAGACCAGCAGGAGACGAUGAUAAACACUGGGACCUGAAGUCUGGAUCUAUGGUGUGUCGGUAUCUGGACUGUGGAUCAGCUGUUUCAGUCAACACAACAGAUGAUUCUCCAUACAGACCUGUGUGGUUGGUCUCAGUUCCUUGUGUAAAGCUGACAUCUGGACCGAGGGACUGUGUUGGACUAGAUGGUUCCUAUAAUCACUCAUCUGGUGUGGACAUGGUGUGUUCAGAUCUGCUGCCUCAGCCCAACAUCUCCCUGUCUGACGGGGUCUUUGAGGUCUACCA